ACUCCUACGGGAGGCAGCAGUGGGGAAUAUUGCGCAAUGGGCGAAAGCCUGACGCAGCGACGCCGCGUGAGGGAUGAAGGCCUUCGGGUUGUAAACCUCUUUCAGCAGGGACGAAGCGAAAGUGACGGUACCUGCAGAAGAAGCACCGGCCAACUACGUGCCAGCAGCCGCGGUAAUACGUAGGGUGCAAGCGUUGUCCGGAAUUAUUGGGCGUAAAGAGCUCGUAGGCGGUCUGUCACGUCGGCUGUGAAAACCCGGGGCUCAACCCCGAGCCUGCAGUCGAUACGGGCAGACUAGAGUGCUGUAGGGGAGACUGGAAUUCCUGGUGUAGCGGUGAAAUGCGCAGAUAUCAGGAGGAACACCGGUGGCGAAGGCGGGUCUCUGGGCAGUAACUGACGCUGAGGAGCGAAAGCGUGGAGAGCAAACAGGAUUAGAUACCCUGGUAGUCCACGCCGUAAACGGUGGGUGCUAGGUGUAGGUCGUAUUCCACGCGAUCUGUGCCGCAGCUAACGCAUUAAGCACCCCGCCUGGGGAGUACGGCCGCAAGGCUAAAACUCAAAGGAAUUGACGGGGGCCCGCACAAGCAGCGGAGCAUGUGG
Molecule: ribosomal RNA, 599 nt
Filed under: uncultured bacterium
Lineage: Bacteria
Description: bacterial SSU rRNA
Rfam family: Bacterial small subunit ribosomal RNA
Source: RNAcentral